ACGCUCAUGUGAAACUCCUUCGACGAGUCGAGUUGUUUGGGAAUGCAGCUCAAAAUGGGAGGUAAAUUUCUUCUAAAGCUAAAUAUUGGCCAGAGACCGAUAGCGCACAAGUAGAGUGAUCGAAAGAUGAAAAGCACUUUGGAAAGAGAGUUAAACAGUACGUGAAAUUGUUGAAAGGGAAGCGCUUGCAACCAGACUUGCACGCAGCUGAUCAUCCGGGCUUCUGCCCGGUGCACUCGGUUGUGUUCAGGCCAGCAUCAGUUUUGGGGGUGGGAUAAAGGCCCUAGGAAUGUAGCUCCUCUCGGGGAGUGUUAUAGCCUAGGGUGCAAUGCCACCACCCGGGACUGAGGACCGCGCUUCGGCUAGGAUGCUGGCGUAAUGGUUGUAAGCGACCCGUCUUGAAACACGGACCAAGGAGUCUAACAUCUAUGCGAGUGUUUGGGUGUCAAACCCAUACGCGUAAUGAAAGUGAACGGAGGUGAGAACCCUUAAGGGUGCAUCAUCGACCGGUCCUGAAGUCUUCGGAUGGAUCUGAGUAAGAGCAUAGCUGUUGGGACCCGAAAGAUGGUGAACUAUGCCUGAAUAGGGUGAAGCC
RNAcentral lists this ribosomal RNA (595 nucleotides) under Hyphozyma variabilis. RNAcentral's name for it is "eukaryotic LSU rRNA". It matches the Rfam family "Eukaryotic large subunit ribosomal RNA", at positions 238 to 853 of the family's 3401-position model. The record is from RNAcentral. Lineage: Eukaryota; Fungi; Ascomycota; Leotiomycetes.